AGAGUUUGAUCCUGGCUCAGGAUGAACGCUGGCGGCGCGCCUAACACAUGCAAGUCGAACGGUUAAAGCACCUCCGGGUGUGUAUAAAGUGGCGAACGGCUGAGUAACACGUGGGCAACCUGCCCCUCGCACCGGGACAGCCUCGGGAAACCGUGGUUAAUACCGGAUACGCCCCCUCUCCCGCAUGGAAGAGGGGGGAAAGCCCCGACGGCGAGGGAUGGGCCCGCGGCCUGUUAGCUUGUUGGCGGGGUAACGGCCCACCAAGGCGAUUAUGGGUAGCUGGGUUGAGAGACCGACCAGCCAGAUUGGGACUGAGACACGGCCCAGACUCCUACGGGAGGCAGCAGUGGGGAAUCUUGCACAAUGGGCGAAAGCCUGAUGCAGCGACGCCGCGUGCGGGGCGAAGGCCUUCGGGUUGUAAACCGCUUUCAGCAGGGACGAGGCCGCAAGGUGACGGUACCUGCAGAAGAAGCCCCGGCUAACUACGUGCCAGCAGCCGCGGUAAUACGUAGGGGGCGAGCGUUAUCCGGAUUCAUUGGGCGUAAAGCGCGCGUAGGCGGCCCGUUAGGUCGGGAGUUAAAUCCGGGGGCUCAACCCCCGCCCGCUCCCGAUACCGGCGGGCUUGAGUCUGGUAGGGGAAGGCGGAAUUCCCAGUGUAGCGGUGGAAUGCGCAGAUAUUGGGAAGAACACCGGUGGCGAAGGCGGCCUUCUGGGCCACGACUGACGCUGAGGCGCGAAAGCUAGGGGAGCGAACAGGAUUAGAUACCCUGGUAGUCC
This 777-nucleotide ribosomal RNA is filed under the name uncultured bacterium. RNAcentral's name for it is "bacterial SSU rRNA". It matches the Rfam family "Bacterial small subunit ribosomal RNA", at positions 8 to 796 of the family's 1533-position model. The record is from RNAcentral.